Molecule: ribosomal RNA, 256 nt
Filed under: uncultured bacterium
Lineage: Bacteria
Description: partial 16S ribosomal RNA
Rfam family: Bacterial small subunit ribosomal RNA
Source: RNAcentral
UACAGAGGGUGCGAGCGUUGUCCGGAAUCACUGGGCGUAAAGGGCGCGUAGGUGGUGGCUUAAGCGUGCGGUGAAAGCUCGGGGCUCAACCCCGAGUCGGCCGUGCGAACUGGGCUCACUGGAGCAUAGUAGAGGCAGGUGGAAUUCCGGGUGUAGCGGUGGAAUGCGUAGAGAUCCGGAAGAACACCGGUGGCGAAGGCGGCCUGCUGGGGCAGUUGCUGACACUGAGGCGCGACAGCGUGGGGAGCAAACAGGG